AGUGAACGCUGGCGGUAGGCCUAACACAUGCAAGUCGAACGGCAGCACAGUAAGAGCUUGCUCUUACGGGUGGCGAGUGGCGGACGGGUGAGGAAUACAUCGGAAUCUACUUUUUCGUGGGGGAUAACGUAGGGAAACUUACGCUAAUACCGCAUACGACCUACGGGUGAAAGCAGGGGAUCUUCGGACCUUGCGCGAUUGAAUGAGCCGAUGCCGGAUUAGCUAGUUGGCGGGGUAAAGGCCCACCAAGGCGACGAUCCGUAGCUGAUCUGAGAGGAUGAUCAGCCACACUGGAACUGAGACACGAUCCAGACUCCUACGGGAGGCAGCAGUGGGGAAUAUUGGACAAUGGGCGCAAGCCUGAUCCAGCCAUACCGCGUGAGUGAAGAAGGCCUUCGGGUUGUAAAGCCCUUUUGUUGGGAAAGAAAAGCAGCAGGUUAAUACCCCGCUGUCCUGACGGUACCCAAAGAAUAAGCACCGGCUAACUUCGUG
This 492-nucleotide ribosomal RNA is filed under the name uncultured bacterium. Its description in RNAcentral is "partial 16S ribosomal RNA". It matches the Rfam family "Bacterial small subunit ribosomal RNA", at positions 29 to 507 of the family's 1533-position model. The record is from RNAcentral.